Capsicum annuum is the source of this 634-nucleotide long non-coding RNA. RefSeq lists it as uncharacterized. The transcript is spliced from 4 exons. The record is from RefSeq and is a predicted model, not a curated record. NCBI's taxonomy places the organism in Eukaryota, Viridiplantae, Streptophyta, Magnoliopsida, Solanales, Solanaceae.
UUUAGGGUUUCCUAAAAUUGACUCUUUCCAAAUCUGCCUUUUGCUCUCUUCUUCAGGUGGAAACUGAUGGUUGCUCCACAUUUGAAUCCUCAGUUUUUGAGGAUUUUCCUGUGAAUUACAGGCUGCUCCUUUGUGCCUUACAUCUCUCAUACGUGUAGAAGAGACGGAGAUAAAACAGUGCUCGAACCCAAACAUAUAUAUAUCUGUAGCUGUCACUCAGGGUAUUCAAGGAAUUUUGUAACAUCUAAAUGCAUAGGCUCAACAGUAUCCUCAGAGAUAAAUUUUAUUUUUGCAUUAUUAGCUACCCUCUUGGGGGAUGACUGAUAGAGAUAAACUUGGUGUCUUAGCGUACGACAGAUUCGAGUACUAGUUGUCACCGUCGACGCCCAUUCUAAUGCUUCUGUGGGUAUUGAGAUAGGUUGAGCUUUUGGAGCCGGAGCUGAAUCUCUCUUCUCUAUUUUUGGAUAGUCUUUCCAAUCAAGACUACUUGUAUAUUGAAACUCUUAGUAGUCAUAUUCUUUUACUUAGAUGCUCUUUUACCGACCUUACUAGGUCAUGGAAUACUCAUUUACUUUUUCUCUUAUGUAUGUUAUCGUAAUUACAUUUCUUGUCUAGAAUAUAUUUGUAUUCCUUA